GUGGGGAAUAUUGGACAAUGGGCGCAAGCCUGAUCCAGCAAUGCCGCGUGGGUGAAGAAGGUCUUCGGAUCGUAAAGCCCUUUCGACAGGGACGAUGAUGACGGUACCUGUAGAAGAAGCCCCGGCUAACUUCGUGCCAGCAGCCGCGGUAAUACGAAGGGGGCUAGCGUUACUCGGAAUUACUGGGCGUAAAGGGCGCGUAGGCGGCUUUGUGUGUCAGGCGUGAAAUUCCUGGGCUUAACCUGGGGACUGCGCUUGAUACUGCAGGGCUUGAGGCCGAGAGAGGGUGGUGGAAUUCCCAGUGUAGAGGUGAAAUUCGUAGAUAUUGGGAAGAACACCGGUGGCGAAGGCGACCACCUGGCUCGGUUCUGACGCUGAGGCGCGACAGCGUGGGGAGCAAACAGGAUUAGAUACCCCAGUAGUCC
This 425-nucleotide ribosomal RNA is filed under the name uncultured bacterium. RNAcentral describes it as "bacterial SSU rRNA". It matches the Rfam family "Bacterial small subunit ribosomal RNA", at positions 354 to 796 of the family's 1533-position model. The record is from RNAcentral.